GCGGACUGCUCGAGCUGCUU
RNAcentral lists this small nuclear RNA (20 nucleotides) under Arabidopsis thaliana (thale cress). RNAcentral describes it as "snRNA_11880". Lineage: Eukaryota; Viridiplantae; Streptophyta; Magnoliopsida; Brassicales; Brassicaceae. The record is from RNAcentral.